AGACAGCAGUCGCCACGGUAAUACGGAGGGUGCAAGCGUUAAUCGGAAUUACUGGGCGUAAAGCGCACGCAGGCGGUCUGUCAAGUCGGAUGUGAAAUCCCCGGGCUCAACCUGGGAACUGCAUUCGAAACUGGCAGGCUAGAGUCUUGUAGAGGGGGUUAGAAUUCCAGGUGUAGCGGUGAAAUGCGUAGAGAUCUGGAGGAAUACCGGUGGCGAAGGCGGCCCCCUGGACAAAGACUGACGCUCAGGUGCGAAAGCGUGGGGAGCAAACAGGAUUAGAUACCCCGGUAGUCCCUGUCUCUUAUAC
This 307-nucleotide ribosomal RNA is filed under the name uncultured bacterium. Its description in RNAcentral is "partial 16S ribosomal RNA". It matches the Rfam family "Bacterial small subunit ribosomal RNA", at positions 506 to 807 of the family's 1533-position model. The record is from RNAcentral.